GAUGAACGCUGGCGGCGUGCUUAACACAUGCAAGUCGAACGAACCUUCGGGUUAGUGGCGGACGGGUGAGUAACGCGUGAGAAUCUGCCCUCAGGAGGGGGACAACAGUUGGAAACGACUGCUAAUACCCCAUAUGCCGCGAGGUGAAAUGAAUUUCGCCUGAGGAUGAGCUCGCGUCUGAUUAGCUAGUUGGUGUAGGUAAUGGCUCACCAAGGCAUCGAUCAGUAGCUGGUCUGAGAGGAUGAUCAGCCACACUGGGACUGAGACACGGCCCAGACUCCUACGGGAGGCAGCAGUGGGGAAUUUUCCGCAAUGGGCGAAAGCCUGACGGAGCAACGCCGCGUGAGGGAUGAAGGCCUCUGGGCUGUAAACCUCUUUUAUCAAGGAAGAAGAUCUGACGGUACUUAAUGGAUAAGCCACGGCUAAUUCCGUG
RNAcentral lists this ribosomal RNA (433 nucleotides) under uncultured bacterium. Its description in RNAcentral is "bacterial SSU rRNA". It matches the Rfam family "Bacterial small subunit ribosomal RNA", at positions 28 to 507 of the family's 1533-position model. The record is from RNAcentral.